This is a long non-coding RNA of Amphibalanus amphitrite, 806 nucleotides long. RefSeq lists it as uncharacterized. The record is from RefSeq and is a predicted model, not a curated record. The transcript has 2 exons. Lineage: Eukaryota; Metazoa; Arthropoda; Thecostraca; Balanomorpha; Balanidae.
UCGAGUCGCAGCUGUGACAUCAGGACGUAGUCGUCCCAUCUCUCCUUCCAGAGGUAGAAGGCGUCACUGCGGUCGGUGGAGAUGUCCAGUCGGUCAGGCCGGGUCGGCUGCAGGCUCGUCAUACCACAGCGAUUACGAAGGACUGUUCUAGAAGCCCUCCACUCUAGCCACCUGGGGAAGGAGAAGACGAAGGCCCGCGCAAGACAGAUCGUCUACUGGCCCGGGAUCUACCGGGAUGUGGAAAAUGUCACCCGCUGCUGUACCAGCUGCCAGAGAGAUCUACCCGAUCAGCAGCAAGAAACCAUGAUGAGGAGACCGCCAGCGGAAAGGCCGUUCGAACUACACAUCGACUUUGCCGAUCGAGCCGGCAGGAAGUACCUCAACCUCGUGGCAGUGGACAGAUACUCCGGGUGGCUGUUUGUCGCCGACCUCGGUGUAAGCGCCCCCGCUUACACCGGUCCGAAGGACGAUAGCAGGCGUCAUGACGAGCGCACUCGCUACGCGACUAAGCGUAAAUGGACGGCACGGGAAAAGGGCUUUCGGCGGUACCCGGCUUUUUGAUGUCGUGUUCAGAGCCGUGCGGCGGAACGGGCUUACCCAGGACACCAACAACGGCCAGCUGGAGGUGGCGCCACGAAAGUGGUUUACGGGUGCCAGGAACCGCGACGGAGGCCGCCAGGAGAGGAGACCAGCUGGAGUUUAAGCGGAGGAGCAGAUGAGAGAAGAAGUCUAGAGAUGAGCAGAAGAGAGCAGAGAGUUUAAACAGCAUUUUUGUGUUUAUCGAUAAUAUAAAUAUUGAUCACUGA